This is a long non-coding RNA of Gossypium raimondii (Peruvian cotton), 324 nucleotides long. RefSeq lists it as uncharacterized. The transcript is spliced from 2 exons. NCBI's taxonomy places the organism in Eukaryota, Viridiplantae, Streptophyta, Magnoliopsida, Malvales, Malvaceae. The record is from RefSeq and is a predicted model, not a curated record.
UUUUUCUGCAUUCUCAUCAGCUAAAACACCAUGGAAGGGUUUCUUCAAGCUGGUUCUUCAUAUUUUUACUGCAAUGUUAAGAGCUCGAAGGUCGGAUUCGGUCAGAGACGUAUCACACUAUCAAUCUCAAGAUCUCGGUAUAUAAAGAAACUUUAAUUUGGAAAUCAAUGGCAUGUAUAAGCUAGUAAAGUAAAUGUUAAUGUGAAAUGAAUGUAUGGUUAGUCAUUGGUAUGGCUAACAAAUUUUGGUUUUGUUAUGUGAUGAGGUUAUCUUAUGAAUACGUUAAAUCUAUCUUGAAAAUAUGUUGAAAUUGAUUGGUUGUGU